RNAcentral lists this ribosomal RNA (490 nucleotides) under uncultured bacterium. RNAcentral describes it as "partial 16S ribosomal RNA". It matches the Rfam family "Bacterial small subunit ribosomal RNA", at positions 29 to 507 of the family's 1533-position model. The record is from RNAcentral.
AGUGAACGCCGGCGGCAGGCCUAACACAUGCAAGUCGAACGGCAGCACAAGAGAGCUUGCUCUCUGGGUGGCGAGUGGCGGACGGGUGAGGAAUGCAUCGGAAUCUGCCCAUUUGUGGGGGAUAACCUCGGGAAACCGGGACUAAUACCGCAUACGACCUACGGGUGAAAGCAGGGGAUCUUCGGACCUUGCGCAGAUGGAUGAGCCGAUGCCGGAUUAGCUAGUUGGAGGGGUAAAGGCCCACCAAGGCGACGAUCCGUAGCUGGUCUGAGAGGAUGAUCAGCCACACUGGGACUGAGACACGGCCCAGACUCCUACGGGAGGCAGCAGUGGGGAAUAUUGGACAAUGGGCGCAAGCCUGAUCCAGCCAUGCCGCGUGUGUGAAGAAGGCCUUCGGGUUGUAAAGCACUUUUGUUGGGAAAGAAAAGCAGCCGGUUAAUACCCGGUUGUCAUGACGGUACCCAAAGAAUAAGCACCGGCUAACUUCGUG